UUGAUUUUAGUUAUUUGUGAACGUACUACGAACAAACAAAAAAAUAUUAUAGUCAAAAAAAAACUAAAUCAAAACUUUUAACAAUGGAUCUCUUGGUUCUCGUAUCGAUGAAGAACGCAGCGAAACGCGAUAUUUCUUGUGAAUUGCAGAAGUGAAUCAUCAGUUUUUGAACGCACAUUGCACUUUGGGGUAUCCCCCAAAGUAUACUUGUUUGAGCGUUGUUUCUCUCUUGGAAUUGCAUUUGCUUUUCUAAAAAAUCGAAUCAAAUUCGUUUGAAACUUCAUUUAUUUCAACCUCAGAUCAAGUAGGAUUACCCGCUGAACUUAAGCAUAUCAAUAAGCGGAGGAAUCGGCUACUUGGUCAUUAGAGGAAGUAAAAGUCGUAACAAGGUUUCCGUAGGUGAACCUGCGGAAGGAUCAUUAACGAGUUUUAAUUGUUAGGUUAGAGUUGAGCUGGUUAAUCUAAUUAAUAUGUGCUUACUCUAAUCGAAACAAGUCCACUCAUUACUUAACACUUGUGAACUUAUUCAUUACAAACAUUAUUAUUUGUUAUUGGAACGUUUGAUUAUUAAAAAGUUAAUA
This 581-nucleotide unclassified non-coding RNA is filed under the name soil metagenome. RNAcentral's name for it is "partial contains internal transcribed spacer 1, 5.8S ribosomal RNA, and internal transcribed spacer 2". The stretch from base 73 to 221 matches the Rfam family "5.8S ribosomal RNA". The record is from RNAcentral.